UACGUAGGGUGCAAGCGUUAAUCGGAAUUACUGGGCGUAAAGCGUGCGCAGGCGGUUUUGUAAGUUUGUCGUGAAAGCCCCGGGCUCAACCUGGGAAUUGCGAUGAAGACUGCAAGGCUUGAAUCUGGCAGAGGGGGGUAGAAUUCCACGUGUAGCAGUGAAAUGCGUAGAGAUGUGGAGGAACACCGAUGGCAAAGGCAGCCCCUGGGUCAAGAUUGACGCUCAUGCACGAAAGCGUGGGGAGCAAACAGG
This 252-nucleotide ribosomal RNA is filed under the name uncultured bacterium. RNAcentral describes it as "partial 16S ribosomal RNA". It matches the Rfam family "Bacterial small subunit ribosomal RNA", at positions 524 to 776 of the family's 1533-position model. The record is from RNAcentral.